CCUACGGGGGGCUGCAGUGGGGAAUAUUGGGCAAUGGGCGCAAGCCUGACCCAGCAACGCCGCGUGAGGGAAGAAGGCUUUCGGGUUGUAAACCUCUGUCCUUGGUGACGAAAAAAAUGACGGUAGCCAAGGAGGAAGCCCCGGCUAACUACGUGCCAGCAGCCGCGGUAAUACGUAGGGGGCGAGCGUUGUCCGGAAUUACUGGGCGUAAAGGGUGCGUAGGCGGUCUGGUAAGUUGGAUGUGAAAAGCCCGGGCUUAACCUGGGAGGUGCAUCCAAUACUGUUGGACUAGAGUGCAGGAGAGGAAAGCGGAAUUCCUAGUGUAGCGGUGAAAUGCGUAGAUAUUAGGAGGAACACCAGUGGCGAAGGCGGCUUUCUGGACUGUAACUGACGCUGAGGCACGAAAGCGUGGGGAGCAAACAGGAUUAGAUACCCCUGUAGUC
Molecule: ribosomal RNA, 443 nt
Filed under: uncultured Eubacteriales bacterium
Lineage: Bacteria; Bacillati; Bacillota; Clostridia; Eubacteriales
Description: bacterial SSU rRNA
Rfam family: Bacterial small subunit ribosomal RNA
Source: RNAcentral